AAAAACCUGAACGAUGACGAGGCAGCCUCUGGCUGAAACAGAUUAUCGCCUUAUCCAAGUGGCCGAUCAGAGGACCAUUGAUUCGCCCCCGUGGAGAAAUUUCAUUCGGCUGUUUAGCUUAUUGCAGAUUCCCGGUCGGAAUAUUAUCGCUUUUCUACGAGAUAAAUGGCAUAAAAAUUGGUUUUAAACAGCGGUUGACAUGCUUCGAAGUACGGUAAUGGAAUAUUUAGACAUUUUUUGUCACGCCAUGCGCCAUGCGCACGACCGUUAUUUACCAUUCGUAUAGUGUCUAGAACGCACGAACAAAACAGAGGAUAUUUGGAUAUAACGAUGGAUUAUUUGGGACCAAACCUACAUUUGUUAUUGAAGUAGAAGUCCUGGGAGUGCAUUCUGACGAAGAACAGGAAAGGUGUGUCAUCUGAUGAAGAUCAUAAAAGUAUUUGCCAAUAUCAUAACUGGAACUGGAGCUGGACAUCUUUGGAGCUGAAGAUUGAGGCCAGCUUUGGCACGCUAGCGUACACUCUUAACAGUUUUACUGGAUGAAAACACAGCAAGAAAACACAAUAUGUAACAGUUGUCUAUUUUAUUGCAGUAUUGGUGGUGGUUGGUUGAACAACAACUUGUUUAACUAGAGGAAAGAAAACUGAGUAUGCGUAAGCCAUAUUUAAUAUUCAUGCAGUGACUGAACAACAACUGCAUUUCCACUCACACCUCUAAAGGCAUAGUAUCAUGGCAGGUCACCUGUCAAGUCACCUGUCAGGUCAAUCAGUCACUAAUUGCUGCAGAUGUGCUCAAUAGUGCUUGAGCAUAUGAUACUCCCCAAAGCACAUCGAGGUGUGUCACAAGCUAAACACAUGUAUUUUGUCAACUUCCUCCGCUUACUUCUCCUGGUGCCAGACAGGCAGACUUUGCAGUGCUUCCGUGUGUGACUACCUUGAGCAGCAGUUUCAGGGACUUUGCAGGCAAAAUGCCGUGCAGUGAGGCGUAGG
Molecule: long non-coding RNA, 989 nt
Filed under: Salmo salar (Atlantic salmon)
Lineage: Eukaryota; Metazoa; Chordata; Actinopteri; Salmoniformes; Salmonidae
Description: lncRNA (ENSSSAG00000088418.1)
Source: RNAcentral